This 443-nucleotide ribosomal RNA is filed under the name uncultured Chloroflexota bacterium. Its description in RNAcentral is "bacterial SSU rRNA". It matches the Rfam family "Bacterial small subunit ribosomal RNA", at positions 337 to 797 of the family's 1533-position model. Lineage: Bacteria; Bacillati; Chloroflexota. The record is from RNAcentral.
UCCUACGGGUGGCAGCAGCAAGGAAUUUUCGUCAAUGGGCGCAAGCCUGAACGAGCAACGCCGCGUGCGGGAUGACGGCCUUCGGGUUGUAAACCGCUUUUGGGGGGGACGAUGAUGACGGUACCCUCCGAAUCAGCCCCGGCUAACUCUGUGCCAGCAGCCGCGGUAAGACAGAGGGGGCAAGCGUUGUCCGGAAUUACUGGGCGUACAGCGCACGCAGGUGGCGCACUAAGUGCCGUGUGAAAGCCCCGCGCUUAACGCGGGGAGGCCAGGGCAGACUGGUGGGCUCGAGGGAUGUAGAGGGUGGUGGAAUUGCCGGUGUAGUGGUGAAAUGCGUAGAGAUCGGCAGGAACACCAAGGGCGAAGGCAGCCACCUGGGCAUCACCUGACACUCAUGUGCGACAGCGUGGGGAGCGAACCGGAUUAGAUACCCUAGUAGUCCA